Daphnia magna is the source of this 7212-nucleotide long non-coding RNA. RefSeq lists it as uncharacterized. Lineage: Eukaryota; Metazoa; Arthropoda; Branchiopoda; Diplostraca; Daphniidae. The transcript has 7 exons. The record is from RefSeq and is a predicted model, not a curated record.
GAAAAAAAAAAAGAGAUUUUUUGUUGUUUCUUUUCAAAUCGUUAUCGUGUGUGACCUCCUAUUUAUUUUUCGUCAGUUGUUUGUUUUCUUACCUGGCUGCGUAGGCAUUCUUUUCUCCCAUUCUUUCGGUAGUUGUCUAAGCAAUAUAGCGUAUAAUACAAGUUUUCCUUUGAAUUAUUAUUCAAAUAUAUACGAGCUGAGACUAUGCGCUAACGCAAGAAACGUCAAGAGGCAGGAAAAAGACGAGGAGCUUCUUACGAAGACGAGGUAAAUAAAAGAUAGGUUAGACGCGUGCUACACACACACACACCAGAAGAUUCUUUUGCGCCGUGUGGCUCUCUGAUUAUGCGAGGGCACACCUGAUAUUUUAAAUAUUCCGCUGCUGCAAGUCGCGGCCGCGUUUAAUAUGCAUGUGUGUGUUUGACCUUGCGGGCAAACGCCUCCUCCUUCUUCCUCUCUCAUCAUUACACAAAGAAGAGGGAGACACGAACGAGGCUUUUAUAACAAAGCAGCAGGAACGAUCAUCAUACUACCCACACACUGCGUGCCCAGAUCAAAUACGUGAAAAAAGAAAAAAGAAAAAACCGUCGAUCGUAAGCAAAAAUAUUACCGAGUCGUGCAGCGCAAUGCUAUUACAAAAAGUAUUUGCGUGUGUGUGUAAUAAGAUCCGCUUUUUUUUCCCCCCCUCCUCGAUUGACCUGCGAAUUACAUCCGAUCCUUUGGGCAUACCAUCAUCGGCGUAAAGUCCGCUGAUUCGUGUAGGAUGCGGCAGCAAAGUUCAUUUCCGCCACGUGAAUAGGAGGAAAUGGCGUCAGUGCUACAGAUUGCAGAAAAAAAAGUGGCAAUGAACGCAAGGUUAGAUUUAUAAAACAGACGACCAAAUUCUCUUUAUUUUAUUUUAUUUUAAUAUUUUUAUUUCCAUUUCUCCUAUUUAAAGAAUUAUUUUUGUUUGUUAUCAAAAUGGACGAAAGAAUGUUACUAGUUCCUGCCACGGCGGGAGCAGGUUAUCUCUAGAUAUUUGUUGGUCUAAUUAUUGUAUGCAAUAGCUAUAGGCUUUGUGCUUAUGCAACAGAGGGCAGGGUCCAAUUACCAUGCGGGUGUGCACGUAUUCUAAUAAGCCUUCACAUUUCUUUUUGCUUUUACUUUUUUUCUUCUUUUUACUAGGCUCCGCCAUCAUAUCAUAACAAAAGACUAACACACACACACGCACUUGUUGGGGCCGAGUAAUUGGAGCUUUGCUCGUGCCCUCCAAGCUUAUAGACACACAAUACCUUGACGGUAGAAACGAUAAGAAAAGAAAAAAUAGAGUUCCAAAUUUUCUCUUUCUUUCGUACAUCUUGUAUUUCGAAAUAUAAUUGCCUUUCGUUGUGUUCUUUUUUUUCCCGCUUACAACCCACAUGAUGGCGUAUAAUAGGAAGAGAGCACCUUCUUUUUGAGAAUUGUGCACUUGCUCUGAUUUUCUGCUGGCGGGGUUCGAUUUAUAAACAGCAUUGCUUGUAACACAGUCAGCUGCUGAACAAUUCAUCUCUCGAUUAAAGAAUAUAGUAUUGCAGCUGUAGCUGGAAUAUCUACAAACGUAGACAAUAAAAGGCGAGCCCGAGAAGGCAAAAGAGGCAGGAAAAAUGAUGACGGGAGCGGUCAUCAUCUCAUCCUCGGCGUUCCAACCUACGCACACGGUAGCAAUUUAAAUCCAAUUGCGGCAAAUCAGUCGGGACUGGACGAUGGAGCCAGCACGAGAAAAUAACCACAGAUAUAAAAACCCACACGAUCACUUGCUGAUCUCUUUCUUUUUUACAUGUUAUUCACGACCGAGGUAAAAAACAUUACAGCUUACGGCCAUCCGUGUUCUAGUCAUCAUCAUCGUUUUCCAGUCCAUUCUUUGAAUUCUUUCAGCUUCAACGGACGUGAGUAAUAUUUGAAAUUGUUGGAUAGCUCGUUGGUUUCUGACCCGCCCCGUUCUAUUUUUCUGAUGUUUUCAAAUUCCUUUCGAAAGUUCAUAUUGAUUGACGACUGUUGCCUCUAAUUUGCCUCGCGUUUUGGAAGUGUUUCUUUGUUUGCAGUCGCCCUCGUUCUGUUUUUAUUUUUAUUCUUUCCAAAACAAAUCUUGUUUGAUUUGUGAGCUUAUUAUUUUUUUUAAAAAGGGCGAUUCAUAUAAAAGAAAAGAAACAGUUUUGUUUGUGACUUGUUCGCUUCAAGUGGACGCGGGAUUGAAAACAGAUUGUGAUUUCGACAGACAGGGCGAAGAGUCAUGGUCCAUGUGUUUUGUCUGUGUGUGCGGACACUUGGCUGCUGAUAAGGUGUGUCGAACUUGGGAGGACGACUGUGAAUAUUGUAGACCCAGUGAAGACAGAGUGUGAAAGCUAUCGACACGCUCCAGCGCUAUACAGCUUGACUUUCUGUUGCUGCUGUCUCUCUCGUCCCUUGUCUCGAUAAAAAUGCUUCAAAAGAUAACACAAAUGCCAAAGUCCCCCUUGAAAUAUUCAACACACCACCACCACUAUAAUGUAGGGAAUAUGCUGAGAGUUGUUCACAGCACACCCUCAUUCUUCCUUGUCUACGAUUGUGGACUGCUUUUUAAAAAGAGCACCAAUGUACAUUUUAGGCCUUUUUAUUUUAUUAUGUCGACCAAAUCGACCGCGAUAAUGUACACAGUGCGAAUGAUUUGUGCAAAAUGAAAGGUAAGCGCUGAUGUGUGGCGAAAGGACGACCUUAUUUUAUUUACAAUUGAAAAAAGAAAAAAACAGGUCAAUAUGAAAUGUCCAUAUAAAAUUAAAAUAAUAAUUUAUUCUCAUAUUCCUAUAUUGGGGCGGUAUAAAAUUCAGAUGUCUGGUUAUGAUAAAUAGAUUUACCCACCUUUUGUCGGAACAUGAAAGAGAGUGUUUCGUACAAGAAAAUGUCAUUUUAUAAUUCUCUUCUCGGAGAAGAACCUGGUUAUCUUAUUAGAGAGGAUGCUCUAAAAAAACCAAGCGUCUUAUCAAAAUUCAAACCGGGCUAAUAAAAAUCCAUCAACAGACUGAACGCGCGCGAUGGAUGUCUUCCCAUUGUCCUGUGCAUCGUCGAGAGAUAGAGUCCUCGGAGCGCUUGUCGUCUGGCGUCGUUAUGUUAUGGAACACCGCCACAUUUGUCUCUUCUUUAUUAUUUUUUUUUCUUUCGUUCUUAUGUUGAAGAAGAAGAAGAAAAAAUAUGUGUAUAUAGAUGAGGGAACCUUUUGGCUGCUGCUGCUGAUGUUCCAGACGUUGAGGGAUAUAGAUGAGAGAUCGAGUCCCCCCCCCCUUCAGCUAGAAAAACCUUUAAAAAAAAAUAACCCCCCUCCGAAAAAAAUCUCGAAAGGGCUUGUCAGAUUUCAAACAUAAGCGAAGUCAGUCAAGUGUACGAGGGGAGGUUAUAUAGCCUUUGCGAAGGCCAGCAGGGACUACAUAGCUUUAGAAUAAGAAAGAAAAUCACCAUUUUUCUUCUUCGACGGUAGUAGUAGGAGUUCCAGCGUACAGAUCCAGUGUCAACAAUUUAAAAGAAGAAGAAGAAGAAAAAAAAUGGGGAAAAAAAAAAAAAAAAAAUGGGUAUAUGUACAUACACUGUAACCUCCGAGGCCGGCAACCAAACAACAAGAGAGCCGGAGCCGCCAGAAAAGUUGGCCUGGCCCCUAUACGUUUUCCCCUCUUAGAGCUGCUCGUGCUUGAAUCACGCGAUCGACGAUUCAGAAAAAGAUAAUGAAAUUCUUUUUUUUCUCCCUUUUACCAUCACUGAAUUACCCCUAGCAAGAUUCCUUUGAAGAUUUUCUCUUCUUUUUUCUUGGUUGGGCUAUUUGACUAUCAAAUAGCUGAGGUAAUGAUUGACAGCUACUUCAUGAUGAGCGGGUUUGAUAUUUUCUUUCGCUGUGUUAGGUGUAUGUAAGCUGAGGAUGGAUUUGAAUAACUAUUGGUAGACUAGGCCUCCCAUCAAAUCGAAAUGAAUGUUCGGGAAUCUAAAGACAUCAUUAUGCAAGGCAAUAAACUUGUAUAGUACACAAUACCGAUAACAAGGGACCCUGUGUUGAACUGUGUUAUUUCUUGUGUGUGUUGACACGUGUGCCAGUACUGGCACGGCCAGCAAGAAUGAGACGACUCUGUUUCUGUUGUGAUGUUCCCCAUCAGCGGAUCCGAUGACCCCAAACAAUCUUCAAAAUGAAAAUGUGUUUUUCUCAGCCCGCCUGACUGGUAUGUUCACUACUAACAUCUCUCGUUCCAACGGUUCAACAUGCACUCGAGAAACGAAGAAAACCUUAAGCAAAUAUUUGUUUUUUAUCAGGACCCUUGCCGUUCCUUUUUUUCCCGCCUCCUAACUAAAAAAAAGAAAAGGAAGAAGAAUAUACAUAUGGAUAUGUCAAUAUGUCAUAUCUUGGAAUAGUAUGUACAUAAUAUGAACGCUACAGCCAUAUUGUCAUGCUGGGCAAACAUAUAUAUGUAUAUUUUUUUAUUUUCAUUCUUCGUACCAUCUUGUUAGAUGCCAUACCGUGAAGUUCUCGAUCAACUCAUAUAAUGUCCCAUUUAGCUCUGCUUCGUGAACCGGACUAUUUAUUUCCUUUUUUUUUUGAGACAACGAAAAGAAACACAAUGGGUUGCCGUGUCUUCUAGUUUGUUGUCUUCCACGAGGGAUUCUGUCUAGAAAGCUGAUUCUAGAAACUAGAAGGCGAUACAGUAUUUUUAAAGUGUUUAGCGAUAAUUUUGCCAAUAGAUGGCGGUUGCGGUUUUCGGGACCAAUUGCGGGGAGAGGGUUUAUUAAUGUAUUAUACUUUUUAGUUUUUCGUGUAAUUUUCACCCAAAUUGAUAUAAUGUGGCUAAUAUGGCGGUCAGGGUGACAUCGCGUUACAUUUUUUGUGUUUUCUAAUUAAAAGCAUAAAACAAACAAAGCUCGAAUCAAGUUCAAUUUUUUUGUCACUAGAUGGCUGGCUGGUAAAACUUCUUGUUCCUUUCUAGAGGCCGUGAGCUUCUUUUGACAGGCAUGAUCUCAUCACGAUAUAAUAGCAAGGUAUAAACGGCGGGUGUUUACUAAGUGGUUCCAGGAUUCCCCGCUAGGUUCGCUAGACUAGCAGGCCGGUCGUCUACAGGGGUGAUAGGGCAAAACACCUUUUUUAUUUUUAGAAUUUUUUAUUAUCAGUUCGUGUUGCUAGAAAAGUGAAUCCACUAGGGCUCCUUUUUAUUUCCGAUUUUUUGGGACCAGAAUUAAAAUGACGGUGCAAUUUGGGAAUUUUUUAUUUAUGUUUUAAAUUCCCCUAUUUUGAAAAAUUGCGCGGUUUGCGGCGUUGCCUAAUUCUUUGUUUAUCUCAAAGCAGAAACAUAUCGUAUAUGGUGUCAGUAGGGCUCGGCCCCGAUCACAUUCUAAUCGGGGACACCGCUAAGCUUCCCCGAUAAAAAUGAAUCGGGGGAGUUCGGUGCGGAACGGUGCUAUAAUCGGCACCGCUAGCCUUUAAUAGAGGCUAGCGCCCCCCUAUGGCCCCCUUCAGCCAUAGGGGGUUAGUCUUACCAGUGACCUUGCGUUCUGAUAGGCCAACGAGAAUCACGUGACUUGCGUCACAUUUUGUUCUUGUUGGCCGCAGGGCAACUGCCAAUUUAGAUCACUUAUUCAUUGGUAAUCGGGGAAGGCACCGAUCCCGAUAUCACCGCACCGAGCACCGAAAUCACCGAACCGAUAAAGAUCAUCCCCGCACCCAAUCGACUAAUAAGUUCCCCGAUUGGCGCGGGGCCGAGCGCUAGGUGUCAGCCAGUAUCAAAAACGUCUAAUCGGCCGAGUCUGUCUCCCGCUCUCUCCCACUCACAGCCACUGCCUCACUGGUCGAAUAAUCAAUACAAAACAUAAUGUUGAAAGAACUAGGCAAAACAUAGGCCUCCAAGGAUAACGGAAACUACGCGAACAUCUACGGAACGCCGUUUCCAUUUGUUUAUAGACAACUCUUAUCGCUAGCUGAUCGUUUCUGUAGCAAAUAAAUAGCUAACUAGCACUGCCAUCUUUAUAUUAAUCUAUUAUUAUUAUAUUUAUUAUCUUUAUAUUAAUCUAUAAUUAAUAAUUUUACUUAAUUUAAUAAGGAUCACGAAAAUCCUACUCAUUUUGUUAUGGGAUCAGUAUUUCCUGAUAUAUUGGCUACUUCCGGUUACUUCCGGAAAAUGUCCUUGACAAUAUACAAAAAGUAAAAAAUGAGCUUUAAUGUUCUAACAAUUUCAAAUACUUUUCUCGCAUUCGUUAGGGUGUGGUAGCUAUUAUUUCGUGUUUUUCUUGCUUUCAACACUACAGGCUGAUCCUACGAGCUACGACAGUUUUACCUACAAAUGUUUAGCCGUUUCGUGCUGCAACUAGUAGUCUAUUUUCUAGGAUGUAAUGCCUAAAAUUGGAAUUCAGCUAUCAGAGAUUAACAAAAUUCAAGCGAAAACUCUAGAUGGCGUUUUUGUGCGUUUAUGAUGAAGAUUAUGAGUGACAAGUUAAAUGGGUGUUUGUUACGUUACGCUGUUAUGUGUUUCAAAGGAUUUUUCGUCAAAAAAUUUACGAUUGCUUUUUGUCUGUUGGUGUUUCGCCUUGUCAGCUAUGCUAGCUGCUGAACCAGCAGCCUGCAUUCCUGCUAUCAAUGUACCACAAGACAUCCUGACACUUUGAGAAGGCACUAUUGCUUACAUGAAGAUCACCAUCCAGUUCAAGUACUGUUAAUGGACCUCAAGCCUUUUGUUUAAGCUUAGUGAUGUGUUCUCUCGUUAGUCAACGACUGAGACUUCAUCUACUUUGUGUUGCUAACCAUCCACCCUCAGCAUCCCAGGUAUCCAGAUUUCCAAGUUUCUCUGAUUAGCCAACCAUCAUCAAAACCCUUCAGCUCUUCAAUGUGGCUUCUCUUCCUCUCUUCUUGAUCUGCUGAAUGCCAACAUUGAAUAAGAUUCAUCAUCAUUGCCUUUCCAUGCCAGCUCACAUGGAUAGGCUUUAACAGCAUCUCCAUUUUUUGGACUGCAAAUAUUCAUCUUCCUUCGGUAUGACACUGCCGUUUUGACAAUUUCGGUAGUUUCGCCCCCAGUGGACCACACGCAACUACAUUUUCUUCGUCUUCCUGUCGUUUUUGUCUACGACUUCACCUCAUCGCUGUCUUCGUUGAUGUCUUCGCCUUCAUCUCCGUCUCGUCGUCUUAGUCGUCUUCGCCUUCAUCUCCGUCUCGUCGUCUUAGUCGUCUUCGCCUUCAUCUCCGUCUCGUCGUCUUAGUCG